GAUGAACGCUGGCGGCGUGCCUAAUACAUGCAAGUCGAGCGAACAGACCAUUAGCUGGCUCCUCUGACGGUAGCGGCGGACGUGUGACUAACACGUCGUUAACCUACCUAUAAGACUAGGAUAACUUCGUGAAGCCAAAGCUAAUACCGGAUACUAUAUUCAACCGCAUGGUUCAAUAGUUAAAGAGGGUGUUGAUGUCACUGAUACAUGUAUGCUCGCGGAUUUAGCUAUGUGGUAAGGUAACGGCUUACCAAAGCAACGCUGCGUAGCCGACCUGAGAGGGUGAUGGCCCACACUGGAACUGAGACACGGUCCAGAGUCUUACGGGCGGCAGAAGUAGGGAAUCGUGCGAACUGGGCGAAAGAUUGAAGGAGCAACGCAGCGUGAGUGCUGAAGGUCUUCGGAUCGUAAAACUCUGUUAGUGGGGAAGACCAAAUGUGUAAGUAACUAAGCACGUCUUGACGGUACCUACUCAGAAAGCAACGGCUAACUACGUG
RNAcentral lists this ribosomal RNA (497 nucleotides) under uncultured bacterium. RNAcentral describes it as "partial 16S ribosomal RNA". It matches the Rfam family "Bacterial small subunit ribosomal RNA", at positions 28 to 507 of the family's 1533-position model. The record is from RNAcentral.